UGGAAAAUAAUUAGAUAUGGAAAAAAAAUCUCUUUUCGUAUGGUCGAUCACGUGCUAUAACUUCUCUCUUAAGUCUAUUUAUUGGUUCUUUUGCGGAAGUAGCUGAGUUAACAACACAUAUACCUAUAUGUUUGUUAUUUGAUCAGCUGCCGUAUUCAGUCAUUUUGUCAAUCGUAGUAGGCAUUCAUUUCGAAGACAUUGCGAACGAAAUUAGACGUGGUUCAAAAUGGACAGAAAAGUAUUCUUGUACUCCGUAUUGAUACUGGUAAGUCGGGACCUAAGUCUAAUCAGUUUCUGAAUACACUUUACAUUUUUAGAACAAGUUAGGUACUUACUCAAAAAUUAAUUAAUUGAAUCAUAUACAUGCUAACAGGGCAAGUUGAAUAAAAGCCUGUAAAAUUAUUUACAAGUUUUUAUUGUUUUAUUUUAUUACCGGUCAAAGCAUAUAUCUUCAGUUAUUAUUUUUUACUUAGCCUAACAAAAAUAAACUUAAAAGGAACAGCCAUAGGAACCAUCAUUCGACGCAAGAGGUAUAAUUAUGGAUAGGUAUAAGAUUAGAGAUUAGUGGAUGCUGUACUUAAAAAAGCGUUUCUUCUGAACAGGCGGCAGCCUGCGAGUUGGUUGACAGAUUGGUAGAUGAGGCAGACGAACGAAUCCUCCGUCCAGUUGAUUAUGCCUUAAACAGUUUACCGUUGCCACUUAUCCAUCGGCGGCGCUUUCGUCUCACAACAGACUCUCCAAUAAAUGUUAAUUACAAUAAUAACUUCAACAACGACGACAUUGAUGACUACAGUUAAAACGAAACCCUCACAGUUAAUAUUGCCAUCCGCUGCCGCGAUAGUACCUAAGGCUGCGGACUGGACGCACGCGACCGGUGGCGCGACAAGCGGCAAACUAUAUUCAUACUUGGUUGAGCGAAAUGCCUUGAUUUGCCGCUUGCCGCGCCGCCGGCGUCCAGUCCACGACCUUAUAAACGCAUUGAUUGCCAGCGCGAUCUAGGCGCUAAACGCUGGCAUUAAAUGUGUUAAAUAAAACAUUUUAAACGGGUUGUAUCGCGUAUAUAAACAAUUUAAAUAAAACGUCGGGAAGUAGGAUGCACGCCAAGGAAAUGUAUUUUGAGAACCACGGGGCUAUUUGGAAAAGGUAUUGCAUAGUUGGGUUGUUGGUUAAGGCUCGAGUCCUUUCAGUUCUCUGCUCUAAGACUCGACUCAGUUUUUCAGACUCUAGUCAUUAAGUCGAAACAUGAGUCCUCAUCGAGACCUAAGUCUUUUAUAUAGUCUUGAGCCCUUUAAAGAGAACUCUCAAAUAUUCUACACGAGACCCAUCGAUUUCCAAAACGGCCCAACCAUAAAGUAUUUGGGAACACGCCUUUAGAAAAUUACUGCUCGUUCUGCGUUAACAAUUCUAACAUGUGUAGUAGGUACAUAUAAUGCGUUUGUAGAUGCGUUUUAUCCAUUAAAAAUAUAAAACAUUUAUUAUUGAUAUAAAAUAUGAAGUUUGUUGGAUAUAAAAUAUGAUGUUUUACUCAAAAGAUUGUACUGAAUAACCCCAGUUUACUAAGAAAAUCAACAUUACAGCCAAUCAUCCCUUCAUCAACAAUCCGUUUUAAUUGAUUUAUUUGUAUACUUCUUGUUAUUAUUUAUUGUGCAUUUUGGUAUGAACUCCGUAUCGUAUGAAUUACUAUUUUAAUUUAUUUUCUUUAUUUUGGUAAUAAAUUGAUUUGAAGAAAA
Molecule: long non-coding RNA, 1730 nt
Organism: Cydia pomonella (codling moth)
Lineage: Eukaryota; Metazoa; Arthropoda; Insecta; Lepidoptera; Tortricidae
Exons: 2
Source: RefSeq, a predicted model, not a curated record